UAUGGUAAUUGUGUGCAGCCGCGGUAAAACGUAGGUCACAAGCGUUGUCCGGAAUUACUGGGUGUAAAGGGAGCGCAGGCGGGAAGACAAGUUGGAAGUGAAAUCUAUGGGCUCAACCCAUAAACUGCUUUCAAAACUGUUUUUCUUGAGUAGUGCAGAGGUAGGCGGAAUUCCCGGUGUAGCGGUGGAAUGCGUAGAUAUCGGGAGGAACACCAGUGGCGAAGGCGGCCUACUGGGCACCAACUGACGCUGAGGCUCGAAAGUGUGGGUAGCAAACAGG
This 280-nucleotide ribosomal RNA is filed under the name Faecalibacterium prausnitzii. Its description in RNAcentral is "partial 16S ribosomal RNA". It matches the Rfam family "Bacterial small subunit ribosomal RNA", at positions 492 to 776 of the family's 1533-position model. Lineage: Bacteria; Bacillati; Bacillota; Clostridia; Eubacteriales; Oscillospiraceae. The record is from RNAcentral.